Molecule: ribosomal RNA, 484 nt
Filed under: uncultured bacterium
Lineage: Bacteria
Description: partial 16S ribosomal RNA
Rfam family: Bacterial small subunit ribosomal RNA
Source: RNAcentral
AUUGAACGCUGGCGGCAGGCCUAACACAUGCAAGUCGAGCGGAUGAAGGGAGCUUGCUCCUGGAUUCAGCGGCGGACGGGUGAGUAAUGCCUAGGAAUCUGCCUGGUAGUGGGGGAUAACGUCCGGAAACGGGCGCUAAUACCGCAUACGUCCUGAGGGAGAAAGUGGGGGAUCUUCGGACCUCACGCUAUCAGAUGAGCCUAGGUCGGAUUAGCUAGUUGGUGGGGUAAAGGCCUACCAAGGCGACGAUCCGUAACUGGUCUGAGAGGAUGAUCAGUCACACUGGAACUUGGACACGGUCCAGACUCCUACGGGAGGCAGCAGUGGGGAAUAUUGGACAAUGGGCGGAAGCCUGAUCCAGCCAUGCCGCGUGUGUGAAGAAGGUCUUCGGAUUGUAAAGCACUUUAAGUUGGGAGGAAGGGCAGUAAGUUAAUACCUUGCUGUUUUGGCGUUACCAACAGAAUAAGCACCGGCUAACUUCGUG